GGAGUCUAGCAUGUGCGCGAGUCAUUGGGAUAAUGUUAAACCUAAAGGCGCAAUGAAAGUGAAGGUCCGCCUCGCGCGGACCGAGGGAAGAUGGGCGGCCGUCACGGCUGCCGCCCCGCACUCCCGGGGCGUCUCGUUCUCAUUGCGAGAAGAGGCGCACCAAGAGCGUACACGCUGGGACCCGAAAGAUGGUGAACUAUGCCUGGUCAGGACGAAGUCAGGGGAAACCCUGAUGGAGGUCCGUAGCGAUUCUGACGUGCAAAUCGAUCGUCGGAACUGGGUAUAGGGGCGAAAGACUAAUCGAACCAUCUAGUAGCUGGUUCCCUCCGAAGUUUCCCUCAGGAUAGCUGGCGCUCAUAGCGUACGAGUUUCAUCCGGUAAAGCGAAUGAUUAGAGGCAUUGGGGUCGAAACGGCCUCAACCUAUUCUCAAACUUUAAAUGGGUGAGAUCUCCGGCUUGCUCGAACUCUUGAAGCCGCGAGACUCGAAUCAGAGUGCCAAGUGGGCCAUUUUUGGUAAGCAGAACUGGCGCUGUGGGAUGAACCAAACGCCGAGUUAAAGCGCCUAAAUCGACGCUUAUGGGAUACCAUGAAAGGCGUUGGUAACUUAAGACAUCAGGACGGUGGCCAUGGAAGUC
This 636-nucleotide ribosomal RNA is filed under the name Hypulus quercinus. RNAcentral's name for it is "eukaryotic LSU rRNA". It matches the Rfam family "Eukaryotic large subunit ribosomal RNA", at positions 670 to 1262 of the family's 3401-position model. Lineage: Eukaryota; Metazoa; Arthropoda; Insecta; Coleoptera; Melandryidae. The record is from RNAcentral.